Molecule: ribosomal RNA, 2902 nt
Filed under: Escherichia coli G3/10
Lineage: Bacteria; Pseudomonadati; Pseudomonadota; Gammaproteobacteria; Enterobacterales; Enterobacteriaceae
Description: bacterial LSU rRNA
Rfam family: Bacterial large subunit ribosomal RNA
Source: RNAcentral
UUAAGCGACUAAGCGUACACGGUGGAUGCCCUGGCAGUCAGAGGCGAUGAAGGACGUGCUAAUCUGCGAUAAGCGUCGGUAAGGUGAUAUGAACCGUUAUAACCGGCGAUUUCCGAAUGGGGAAACCCAGUGUGUUUCGACACACUAUCAUUAACUGAAUCCAUAGGUUAAUGAGGCGAACCGGGGGAACUGAAACAUCUAAGUACCCCGAGGAAAAGAAAUCAACCGAGAUUCCCCCAGUAGCGGCGAGCGAACGGGGAGCAGCCCAGAGCCUGAGUCAGUGUGUGUGUUAGUGGAAGCGUCUGGAAAGGCGCGCGAUACAGGGUGACAGCCCCGUACACAAAAAUGCACAUGCUGUGAGCUCGAUGAGUAGGGCGGGACACGUGGUAUCCUGUCUGAAUAUGGGGGGACCAUCCUCCAAGGCUAAAUACUCCUGACUGACCGAUAGUGAACCAGUACCGUGAGGGAAAGGCGAAAAGAACCCCGGCGAGGGGAGUGAAAAAGAACCUGAAACCGUGUACGUACAAGCAGUGGGAGCACGCUUAGGCGUGUGACUGCGUACCUUUUGUAUAAUGGGUCAGCGACUUAUAUUCUGUAGCAAGGUUAACCGAAUAGGGGAGCCGAAGGGAAACCGAGUCUUAACUGGGCGUUAAGUUGCAGGGUAUAGACCCGAAACCCGGUGAUCUAGCCAUGGGCAGGUUGAAGGUUGGGUAACACUAACUGGAGGACCGAACCGACUAAUGUUGAAAAAUUAGCGGAUGACUUGUGGCUGGGGGUGAAAGGCCAAUCAAACCGGGAGAUAGCUGGUUCUCCCCGAAAGCUAUUUAGGUAGCGCCUCGUGAAUUCAUCUCCGGGGGUAGAGCACUGUUUCGGCAAGGGGGUCAUCCCGACUUACCAACCCGAUGCAAACUGCGAAUACCGGAGAAUGUUAUCACGGGAGACACACGGCGGGUGCUAACGUCCGUCGUGAAGAGGGAAACAACCCAGACCGCCAGCUAAGGUCCCAAAGUCAUGGUUAAGUGGGAAACGAUGUGGGAAGGCCCAGACAGCCAGGAUGUUGGCUUAGAAGCAGCCAUCAUUUAAAGAAAGCGUAAUAGCUCACUGGUCGAGUCGGCCUGCGCGGAAGAUGUAACGGGGCUAAACCAUGCACCGAAGCUGCGGCAGCGACGCUUAUGCGUUGUUGGGUAGGGGAGCGUUCUGUAAGCCUGUGAAGGUGUGCUGUGAGGCAUGCUGGAGGUAUCAGAAGUGCGAAUGCUGACAUAAGUAACGAUAAAGCGGGUGAAAAGCCCGCUCGCCGGAAGACCAAGGGUUCCUGUCCAACGUUAAUCGGGGCAGGGUGAGUCGACCCCUAAGGCGAGGCCGAAAGGCGUAGUCGAUGGGAAACAGGUUAAUAUUCCUGUACUUGGUGUUACUGCGAAGGGGGGACGGAGAAGGCUAUGUUGGCCGGGCGACGGUUGUCCCGGUUUAAGCGUGUAGGCUGGUUUUCCAGGCAAAUCCGGAAAAUCAAGGCUGAGGCGUGAUGACGAGGCACUACGGUGCUGAAGCAACAAAUGCCCUGCUUCCAGGAAAAGCCUCUAAGCAUCAGGUAACAUCAAAUCGUACCCCAAACCGACACAGGUGGUCAGGUAGAGAAUACCAAGGCGCUUGAGAGAACUCGGGUGAAGGAACUAGGCAAAAUGGUGCCGUAACUUCGGGAGAAGGCACGCUGAUAUGUAGGUGAAGUCCCUCGCGGAUGGAGCUGAAAUCAGUCGAAGAUACCAGCUGGCUGCAACUGUUUAUUAAAAACACAGCACUGUGCAAACACGAAAGUGGACGUAUACGGUGUGACGCCUGCCCGGUGCCGGAAGGUUAAUUGAUGGGGUCAGCGCAAGCGAAGCUCUUGAUCGAAGCCCCGGUAAACGGCGGCCGUAACUAUAACGGUCCUAAGGUAGCGAAAUUCCUUGUCGGGUAAGUUCCGACCUGCACGAAUGGCGUAAUGAUGGCCAGGCUGUCUCCACCCGAGACUCAGUGAAAUUGAACUCGCUGUGAAGAUGCAGUGUACCCGCGGCAAGACGGAAAGACCCCGUGAACCUUUACUAUAGCUUGACACUGAACAUUGAGCCUUGAUGUGUAGGAUAGGUGGGAGGCUUUGAAGUGUGGACGCCAGUCUGCAUGGAGCCGACCUUGAAAUACCACCCUUUAAUGUUUGAUGUUCUAACGUUGGCCCCUAAUCGGGGUUGCGGACAGUGUCUGGUGGGUAGUUUGACUGGGGCGGUCUCCUCCUAAAGAGUAACGGAGGAGCACGAAGGUUGGCUAAUCCUGGUCGGACAUCAGGAGGUUAGUGCAAUGGCAUAAGCCAGCUUGACUGCGAGCGUGACGGCGCGAGCAGGUGCGAAAGCAGGUCAUAGUGAUCCGGUGGUUCUGAAUGGAAGGGCCAUCGCUCAACGGAUAAAAGGUACUCCGGGGAUAACAGGCUGAUACCGCCCAAGAGUUCAUAUCGACGGCGGUGUUUGGCACCUCGAUGUCGGCUCAUCACAUCCUGGGGCUGAAGUAGGUCCCAAGGGUAUGGCUGUUCGCCAUUUAAAGUGGUACGCGAGCUGGGUUUAGAACGUCGUGAGACAGUUCGGUCCCUAUCUGCCGUGGGCGCUGGAGAACUGAGGGGGGCUGCUCCUAGUACGAGAGGACCGGAGUGGACGCAUCACUGGUGUUCGGGUUGUCAUGCCAAUGGCACUGCCCGGUAGCUAAAUGCGGAAGAGAUAAGUGCUGAAAGCAUCUAAGCACGAAACUUGCCCCGAGAUGAGUUCUCCCUGACUCCUUGAGAGUCCUGAAGGAACGUUGAAGACGACGACGUUGAUAGGCCGGGUGUGUAAGCGCAGCGAUGCGUUGAGCUAACCGGUACUAAUGAACCGUGAGGCUUAACCUU